UUUUAUGGAGAGUUUGAUCCUGGCUCAGAGUGAACGCUGGCGGCGUGCCUAAUACAUGCAAGUCGAACGAUGAAGCUUCUAGCUUGCUAGAGUGCUGAUUAGUGGCGCACGGGUGAGUAA
Molecule: ribosomal RNA, 120 nt
Filed under: Helicobacter pylori
Lineage: Bacteria; Pseudomonadati; Campylobacterota; Epsilonproteobacteria; Campylobacterales; Helicobacteraceae
Description: partial 16S ribosomal RNA
Rfam family: Bacterial small subunit ribosomal RNA
Source: RNAcentral